RNAcentral lists this ribosomal RNA (668 nucleotides) under uncultured delta proteobacterium. RNAcentral's name for it is "bacterial SSU rRNA". It matches the Rfam family "Bacterial small subunit ribosomal RNA", at positions 799 to 1460 of the family's 1533-position model. Lineage: Bacteria; Deltaproteobacteria. The record is from RNAcentral.
GCCGUAAAACGAUGAGAACUAGGUGUAGCGGGUAUUGACCCCUGCUGUGCCGAAGUUAACGCAUUAAGUUCUCCGCCUGGGGAGUACGGCCGCAAGGCUAAAACUCAAAGGAAUUGACGGGGACCCGCACAAGCGGUGGAGCAUGUGGUUUAAUUCGACGCAACGCGAAGAACCUUACCUGGAUUUGACAUCCUCUGAUUUCCAUAGAAAUAUGGCUUUUUAUGCUUGCAUAAACAGAGUGACAGGUGCUGCAUGGCUGUCGUCAGCUCGUGUCGUGAGAUGUUGGGUUAAGUCCCGCAACGAGCGCAACCCUUGUUUUUAGUUGCCAUUAUUAAGUUAGGCACUCUAAAAAUACUGCCUCGGUUAACGGGGAGGAAGGUGGGGAUGACGUCAAGUCCUCAUGGCCUUUAUAUCCAGGGCUACACACGUGCUACAAUGGGCUGUACAAAGAGUUGCCACUUCGCGAGAAGGAGCUAAUCUCAAAAAGCAAUUCUCAGUUCGGAUUGGAGUCUGCAACUCGACUCCAUGAAGUUGGAAUCGCUAGUAAUCGUGGAUCAGCAUGCCACGGUGAAUACGUUCCCGGGUCUUGUACACACCGCCCGUCACACCUCGAAAGUCGGCUGUACCAGGAGUUGCUGGGCUAACCCUUCGGGGAUGCAGGUACCUAA